Pelmatolapia mariae (spotted tilapia) is the source of this 3543-nucleotide long non-coding RNA. RefSeq lists it as uncharacterized. NCBI's taxonomy places the organism in Eukaryota, Metazoa, Chordata, Actinopteri, Cichliformes, Cichlidae. The record is from RefSeq and is a predicted model, not a curated record. The transcript is spliced from 4 exons.
AGCUGUGUCACGUGACCACACAGCACAAAACCACAGAUGAGCAGGGAAAAGGGGGCGGAGCAAAGUGUUCGUGUGUACAAGAGAGGAGUCGAGCAGAGAGAGCUGCUUUUACGUGAAACGGGAGUAAAGUAGUGCACUUAGAAGAGAGAAACAAACUAAAGUAUCGAUCAUAUACCACUACCAACGUUUGGAUCGAUAUCUGCAUCGAUCUGCCCACCCUUGUCUCCUGGAUCGUAGCUGAGAUCAGCGUGAACCACGUGGGUCUCUGCUCCCUGAUCUGUUUCCUGUGUUUGGAAAGAGUUCCAGCUUCAUCACGGAGUUUCUCUCGGUUUGUGGGCUCAUCUAAAGCUGAUCAUCAGGAGGAGACGAGCCAUUUAGACUUAGCUCAGCCACUGCAGAGGAAACAAUGACUUCAACCCAAAAGGACCAACAUGGAGCGAGAAGUCAGCGCUCUCAGGAGGCCGACAAACCUCACAGAAGAAAGAGAGAGAAAAAAUACAGCUGUGAUGAGUGUGGGAAGGAUUUCACCAAGGCUGAACACCUGAAAACACACCAACUCAUCCACAGUGGAGUUAAACCGUACAGCUGUGACUUGUGUGGAAAAUCUUUCACCCAACUUGGACACUUAAAAACACACCAACUCAUCCACAGUGGAGUUAAAGCAUACAGCUGUGAUCAGUGUGGUAAAUCUUUUGCUCUCAGUUGCACCUUAAAACGUCAUCUAGUUACCCACUCUGGAAUUAAGGCGUACAGCUGUGACAUUUGUGGAGAAACUUUCAGUCGGCUAGGGAGCCGAAAUAUUCACCAGCGGAUUCACACUGGACAUGAUGUUUGCUGCUGUGUUCAGUGUGGAAAACUGUUUACAACAGAUGCACAGUUACAACGCCACAUGUUUACCCACAAUGAGGAGAGAUUUUAUAAAUGUGACCUGUGUGAGAAGACUUUUAAAUCUCCACUUAACCUCAAAUCACACCAACAGAUCCACACCAGAAAGAAACUCUACAAGUGCAGUUAGUGUGAGAAGCAGAGCGACACAGAUGGAUCCAGUUCUCAGCCCUGUCGUCACUGUGGAGGUGGGAAAGAGUUUAGCUGUGACCUUUGUGGAAAAAUGUUCAGCCAUCAUCGAAGUCUAGAACUACAUCAACGUAGACACACUGGAGACAAAAUGAGCUACUGCAAAGAAUGUGGAAGAGGCUUCCCCACGCCAAGUAUAUUAAAAAUACAUGAACUUAUUCACAGUGGGGUUAAAAAGCACGUCUGUGACCAGUGUGGGUCAUCCUUCACUACUGCAGGUCACCUUAAAAGUCAUAAACGAGUCCACACAGGAGAGAAACCAUAAGUGCAGACACUGUGACAGAAGUUUCUCAGGUCCAGAUAGUCGUAACCUUCAUGAACGUACACGUGUUGAAGGGAACUUCAACUGUGACCAGUGUGACAAGAGCUUCAGGAAUCUCAGUUCAUACUCCAAACACAAACGAUCCCACGCUGUAAAUAAACUGUUUCACUGUUACCAAUGUGCAAAAACAUUCACUUCAUUAUCUGCUCUGUGCAACCAUCAGCGUGAUCAUGAAAUCAUUCCCAUAAAUGGAUCACAAUGAAACUGAAGAGACAGAAAGAUCCUUUUCUGGUUUCAGACUUAAAAACCUUGAGAUCAGGCUCCACAGGCUCCAAGUUUGAAACUGAAGUGGGCUUGGGUUGUAUUUCUGUGGAAUACCAAUUUGAACCACAAGGUGGAGCAGCAAGUCCAUCUAAGCUUCAUUUGAUCAGGCAAAGAACAUAUUUAUACUCACAGUGGUGGCCUGCAGAGGGCAAAGCAUCUUUAGAAAAUUGGGAACUGUUAGACGUUAAAGUUUGCAGAUGACUGCUUUUGUUCAUCAGCUCCAGGACAGUGAGACGAGCGAUGGCCAAGAACUGUUUUUUUUUUUUUUUUUUUUUUCGUUUUUUUUUUUAAUAGCUUGUUUAAUCGUUACAUUUUUGGUUUAGUGUGAUGGCUAUGAUUGAUGUCUGUCUGCAAAAAGGUUGUAAAACUGACAGUGAUAAAGAUAUUAAUGAAAACCUUUAAAACAAAAACAAUUUUAUUCCAGUAGUUAGAUGAAUAAAUUAAAAAACAAUAAAGCUGUGUUCAUCAAACCAGUGAAUCUGAUCGCUGCCUCUAUUGGUAUCUGCAUUUGGGUUCAGCUCUUGUGCCGGCCUGGAAAAAUAACGUUGAAGUCAGACAAUUAUAAAAGAAUAAUAAGAAAGAAAACACUGAAGCAAAUUUACAAAGCACCAACACGCCCUGCUGCAGGACAUGAUGGAUGCACAAAGAAGGGGAAAGUUACCCACCCAUCCAUCCUUCCCUCCCUCCUAUCCCAGCUGUCUUAAGGGAAGAUGAAGGGUACACCCUGGACAGGUCGCCAGUCCGUCACAAAGCUAACACAUCACAGCAAAAGAUUAAUGGUGAAAAUAGACCACACAAACAAUGAAAACCAGGUUAUAAACAUGUAUAUAUUUUAUAUGACUUGUUAAACUGAAAAACCAGAUAAACAGAUUUGUUAACUAUCUACAGCAGCGGUCCCCAGUCUUUUGCGCCACGGACUGGUUUAGUGUUAGACAAUAUUUUCAUGGACUGGCUUUUAAGGUGGAUAAAUACAACAAAAUAAAAUGAUACGACCAAGACAAACUGUGGAAUUUUGUAAAUAAAAUAAUAAAUGUGAAUUCACUGUGUAACUGUCUAACUUUAUUAGCAGCGUCCUCCGGAAAUGCGCCCACAAGAUUGAGAGCAACAUCCUCCUCUCUGCCCCUUAAUGCUCUCUGGUCACUAUGGUAACAUGUAGAUGUUUCUUUCAAAAUAAGACACACAACUACAACAUGGGAAAAAGACCCAGGGAAAGAGAGUUAAUGAAAACCAUAAAUUUCACGCCCAAGCCUCAACUCUCGCGGCCCGGUACCAAACAACUCAUGGACUGGUACCCAUCCAUGGCCCGGGGGUUGGGGACCGCUGAAAAUGGUUUAACAUUCAACAUUGCAUACAAGACUUACAGGCAAACACAGAAGCUAAUUUCAGUGUGUUUUUCUUUUUAAGUUUAAAAUAUAUAUUAAGUGGUAAGACAAUGAAUUUUACUUCUGACUGUCCAUGUUAUGUAGCAGUAUCCAUUUUAUCAUGCAUGUAUGCUACUUUUCUCUGCUGACUGUAAAUGUUUUUCUUUUGUAUUCAUGAAAUAAACUAGACUUUCACAGUCUGCAUUUUUUACUGUUUCUGCUUUUGUUCACUCCAAGUUGGACAAAAACCCACAGACAGGCAGAGUAAACUAACAAUGUGGAGCAAUCACAGACUGUGUAUUAAAUGGAAAAUGGCCUGUAUUUGUAUAGCGCUUUACUUAGUCCCUAAGGACCCCAAAGUGCUUUACACUACAUACAGUCCACCCAUUCACAAACACAUUCACACACUGGUGAUGGGAAGCUACAUUGUAGCCACAGCUGCCCUGGGGCGCACUGACACUGAUUAGUACCUUGUUUUUCAUAAACACAAACAGGUGACUGAGAGAAAUGUCUUUGUUAUCC